Long non-coding RNA from Perognathus longimembris pacificus (Pacific pocket mouse), 89 nucleotides. RefSeq lists it as uncharacterized. The record is from RefSeq and is a predicted model, not a curated record. The transcript has 3 exons. NCBI's taxonomy places the organism in Eukaryota, Metazoa, Chordata, Mammalia, Rodentia, Heteromyidae.
AAAAAUCUAUGGUUACCCAAAGUUGGCAUUUGAAAAUGUUUAACAUUUCAGGAAGCAACGUUUAAAACACUGGGGUCAAGUUCCAGUGA